UACGGGGGGGGCAAGCGUUGUUCGGAAUUACUGGGCGUAAAGGGCUCGUAGGCGGCCAACUAAGUCAGACGUGAAAUCCCUCGGCUUAACCGGGGAACUGCAUCUGAUACUGGAUGGCUUGAGAUUGGGAGAGGGAUGCGGAAUUCCAGGUGUAGCGGCGAAAUGCGUAGAUAUCUGGAGGAACACCGGUGGCGAAGGCGGCAUCCUGGACCAACACUGACGCUGAGGAGCGAAAGCCAGGGGAGCAAACGGG
RNAcentral lists this ribosomal RNA (253 nucleotides) under uncultured bacterium. Its description in RNAcentral is "partial 16S ribosomal RNA". It matches the Rfam family "Bacterial small subunit ribosomal RNA", at positions 524 to 776 of the family's 1533-position model. The record is from RNAcentral.